This 484-nucleotide ribosomal RNA is filed under the name uncultured bacterium. Its description in RNAcentral is "partial 16S ribosomal RNA". It matches the Rfam family "Bacterial small subunit ribosomal RNA", at positions 30 to 507 of the family's 1533-position model. The record is from RNAcentral.
AUUGAACGCUGGCGGCAGGCCUAACACAUGCAAGUCGAGCGGAUGAAGGGAGCUUGCUCCUGGAUUCAGCGGCGGACGGGUGAGUAAUGCCUAGGAAUCUGCCUGGUAGUGGGGGAUAACGUCCGGAAACGGGCGCUAAUACCGCAUACGUCCUGAGGGAGAAAGUGGGGGAUCUUCGGACCUCACGCUAUCAGAUGAGCCUAGGUCGGAUUAGCUAGUUGGUGGGGUAAAGGCCUACCAAGGCGACGAUCCGUAACUGGUCUGAGAGGAUGAUCAGUCACACUAGACCUGAGACACGGUCCAGUCAUUUACGGGAGGGCGCAGUUGGGAAUAUUCGUGAUUGGGCCAAGUCCUGCUCCAGCCAUGCCGCGUGUGUGAAGAAGGUUUUCGGAUUGUAAAGUACUUUAAGUUGGGAGGAAGGGCAGUAAGUUAAUACCUUACUGUUUUGACGUUACCAACAGAAUAAGCACCGGCUAACUUCGUG